Molecule: ribosomal RNA, 378 nt
Filed under: uncultured bacterium
Lineage: Bacteria
Description: bacterial SSU rRNA
Rfam family: Bacterial small subunit ribosomal RNA
Source: RNAcentral
UAAGACGAACCGUGCGAACGUUAUUCGGAAUCACUGGGCUUAAAGCGCGUGUAGGCGGCCCGGCACGUCAUUGGCUGAAAUCCCCCGGCUCAACCGGGGAAGGGGCCGUGAUACGACCGGGCUGGAGGGGGGUAGGGGGGACGGGAACUCACGGUGGAGCGGUGAAAUGCGUUGAGAUCGUGAGGAACGCCCGCGGCGAAAGCGCGUCCCUGGACCCCACCUGACGCUGAGACGCGAAAGCCAGGGGAGCGAACGGGAUUAGAUACCCCGGUAGUCCUGGCCGUAAACCAUGGGCACUGGGUAGGGGGCUCGCCGAUGGGCUCCCUGCCGCAGCGAAAGCGUGAAGUGCCCCGCCUGGGGAGUAUGGUCGCAAGGCUG